GAGAAGCUUGCUUCUCUGAUGUUAGCGGCGGACGGGUGAGUAACACGUGGAUAACCUACCUAUAAGACUGGGAUAACUUCGGGAAACCGGAGCUAAUACCGGAUAAUAUUUUGAACCGCAUGGUUCAAAAGUGAAAGACGGUCUUGCAGUCACUUAUAGAUGGAUCCGCGCUGCAUUAGCUAGUUGGUAAGGUAACGGCUUACCAAGGCAACGAUGCAUAGCCGACCUGAGAGGGUGAUCGGCCACACUGGAACUGAGACACGGUCCAGACUCCUACGGGAGGCAGCAGUAGGGAAUCUUCCGCAAUGGGCGAAAGCCUGACGGAGCAACGCCGCGUGAGUGAUGAAGGUCUUCGGAUCGUAAAACUCUGUUAUUAGGGAAGAACAUAUGUGUAAGUAACUGUGCACAUCUUGACGGUACCUAAUCAGAAAGCCACGGCUAACUACGUGCCAGCAGCCGCGGUAAUACGUAGGUGGCAAGCGUUAUCCGGAAUUAUUGGGCGUAAAGCGCGCGUAGGCGGUUUUUUAAGUCUGAUGUGAAAGCCCACGGCUCAACCGUGGAGGGUCAUUGGAAACUGGAAAACUUGAGUGCAGAAGAGGAAAGUGGAAUUCCAUGUGUAGCGGUGAAAUGCGCAGAGAUAUGGAGGAACACCAGUGGCGAAGGCGACUUUCUGGUCUGUAACUGACGCUGAUGUGCGAAAGCGUGGGGAUCAAACAGGAUUAGA
This 724-nucleotide ribosomal RNA is filed under the name uncultured Staphylococcus sp. RNAcentral's name for it is "bacterial SSU rRNA". It matches the Rfam family "Bacterial small subunit ribosomal RNA", at positions 73 to 782 of the family's 1533-position model. Lineage: Bacteria; Bacillati; Bacillota; Bacilli; Caryophanales; Staphylococcaceae. The record is from RNAcentral.